Molecule: long non-coding RNA, 508 nt
Filed under: Chrysolophus pictus (golden pheasant)
Lineage: Eukaryota; Metazoa; Chordata; Aves; Galliformes; Phasianidae
Description: lncRNA (ENSCPIG00010010111.1)
Source: RNAcentral
GUUUAAUUGACAUUUAAUUGGCGUAUCGCUCUGAUGUCUAUCUGGACGCGACUCCUCAUCACCUCGCUGUGGGCAGCGCGCUGAGGCGCGCCUGGCAGCCAGCUGAGCAGCGCCCCUGCUUUGAGGAAGCGUUCAGUUCUUCUCCCAGCAGUUUCAUUUCUUGCCGCGAGCUCUGGCUUUCAGAGGACCUCCGGGCAGUAACGAUGACGAGCAGCGCACAGAAACCUGAUGAAAGCAGAAGUAAACGCAGGAAAGAGCUGGAGGCUGAUGAUACAGAAAGCCCUCAGCUGUCCUCUGCUGACACAGCAGACCCGGUGCUUUCGGACGGCCUGCAGUCCCUGUGCAAACCUGAGCCCCUGGAACAGCUGCUAAACGGUGAUGUAUUCACACACCCCGAGCCACUGCUGAAUGCUACAAUUGGAUGCCGAGGUGGAUUUGUUCCACUGUUUAAAUGAAGUCACUUUUUCUUCUAACAGAGAUGAAUAAAGAAAUCAAGGACUUGUUGGCA